This is a non-coding RNA of Pelobates cultripes (western spadefoot toad), 1748 nucleotides long. The record is from the annotation of a GenBank genome assembly. NCBI's taxonomy places the organism in Eukaryota, Metazoa, Chordata, Amphibia, Anura, Pelobatidae.
GUAAUGAAGUGGCAUCUGACACAUGACAAGCUGCUCCUGUUUGCACAGCAACUUCAACAUUGUGUACUGUGAUCACUGUCUAGUUCAGAGGUAGGUAACCUUGGGCAGUCCAGAUGCUGUGAAUUACAUCUCCCAUAAUCCCGCAAACCAUUAUGGGAGGUGUAGUCCAAAACAUCUGGGAUACCGAAUGCGUAUGAAUGAAACGUAUGGUGUGUGUGAAUGGUCAGUAACAAGGGUUGAAGCCUUGACGUGGCGUUACUGCUCACAUGUGUAUUCAUGUGCCAAUUCAACCAAUGUGAGUCACUGUACUACUUAUAAGGUAACCAAAAGUACUGUGAUUGUGGAGAAUGAAACGCCUGUAUCACCUACACACUGUUUACACUGUGACAUUAUCUCCUUAACACGGCUUACACUGUGACCGUUUCCCUUAAACACUGCUUACACUGUGACCGUAUCCCAUAAACACUGCUUACACUGUGACCCUAUCGCCUAAACACUGCUCAUACUGGUAACGUAUCACCUAAACACUGCUCAUACUGUGACCGUAUCUCUAAACGCGCUUUACACUGACCCAUUAUCUCCUAAACACUGCUUACAUUGACCAUAUCCCCUAAACACUGCUUACACUGUGACCGUAUCCCAUAAACACUGCUCACACUGUGACCGUAUCUCCUAAACACUGCUCACACUGUGACCGUAUCUCCUAAACACUGCUUACACUGUGACCGUAUCUCCUAAACACUGCUUACACUGACCGUAUCUCCUAAACACUGCUUACACUGACCGUAUCCCCUAAACACUGCUUACAUUGUGACCGUAUCCCAUAAACACUGCUCACACUGUGACCGUAUCUCCUAAACACUGCUUACACUGCGACCGUAUCCCAUAAACACUGCUCACACUGUGACUGUAUCUCCUAAACACUGCUCACACUGUGACCCUAUCGCCUAUACACGGCUUACACUGUGACCCUAUUGCCUAUACACUGCUUACGCUGUGACCCAAUCGCCUAAACACUGCUUAGAUUGUGACUGGAUCCCAUAAACACUGCUCACACUGUGACCGUAUCUCCUAAACACUGCUCACACUGUGACCCUAUCGCCUAUACACUGCUUACACUGUGACCCUAUUGCCUAUACACUGCUUAUGCUGUGACCCAAUCGCCUAAACACUGCUUACAUUGUGACUGGAUCCCAUAAACACUGCUUACACUGUGACCGUAUCUCCUAAACACUGCUCAUACUGUGACCGUGUCUCCUAAAUACUGCUUACACUGUGACCCUAUCGCCUAUACACUGCUUACACUGUGACCCUAUUGCCUAUACACUGCUUACACUGUGACCCAAUCGCCUAAACACUGCUCACACUGUGAAUGUUAUUUUUUCAAGUUAGUUUUAGUGUUUGCGGUUUCAUUGAUUUGUUAACCACUCUCCUCAAUCUUCUGUUCUGUGUUUUCUUACAUUUGUGGGAAGAACAAGGUGAUCCUCUCAAUUUUACACUCCUCUACUGAUGGUUCCAGUGCCAGAGACAAACCCACCACCAUUAACCUCGGCCUGCUCAAACAGGAGAGAUUACCUUCUUCUACAGAAAACUUCCAUAUGGCUGUUUCGGAACACAUGCUGCAGACAUGAUUUAACCUUCAUCUUCCAGUGAUUGAGAAUCGUGGACCGUCCAGGGAAAGAGACCAUUAUAUUAUUAAGAUACUACCUUCCUAAUGCCAUACAGACUUUUUUUACAUUUGAUUGAAC